Molecule: long non-coding RNA, 437 nt
Filed under: Fragaria vesca (wild strawberry)
Lineage: Eukaryota; Viridiplantae; Streptophyta; Magnoliopsida; Rosales; Rosaceae
Description: long non-coding RNA (FVES_LNC005467)
Source: RNAcentral
GGGGGAGUGUUCUAGGAUAUUCUCUAUGUGUGCCUUGGCCUUAUGCCAAUAGGAUAUGUAGUUAGACUAGAUCUAUGUAUUCAUAUCCUUACCAUAUUGGUAUUGUGUAAUUCCCUAUAUAAAGGGCUCCUAUCAAUGAAUAAGAUGACUCUCUUGCUAUCUCUUUGUCUCUACACUUUAUUCUUCAUCAAUUCAUACUUAUGAAAUUAAUAACUCAUGGAUAAUUGUGGACUUUGUAAUGUAAAUUACACACACCAAACUCUAAUAUUUUUCCAUCCACUAGAGCAAAGAUUUGGAAAAGUCUACCAUAGACUUUCUCUUUGCAUGUGAAUAAAUUGAUCCUACGAUACAUCUAUUUUUUUUUUAAUAAUAUUUUGUGCUAUCAACGUUCUAUUUUACAUAUUCUUUUCAAUGUUUUUCGAAUGUUAACAUUUUGU